CUAAGUUUGAUGGCGACCGGCGCACGGGUGAGUAACACGUAUCCAACCUGCCGAUGACUCGGGGAUAGCCUUUCGAAAGAAAGAUUAAUACCCGAUGGCAUAGUUCUUCCGCAUGGUGGAACUAUUAAAGAAUUUCGGUCAUCGAUGGGGAUGCGUUCCAUUAGGCAGUUGGUGGGGUAACGGCCCACCAAACCUUCGAUGGAUAGGGGUUCUGAGAGGAAGGUCCCCCACAUUGGAACUGAGACACGGUCCAAACUCCUACGGGAGGCAGCAUG
This 275-nucleotide ribosomal RNA is filed under the name uncultured bacterium. Its description in RNAcentral is "partial 16S ribosomal RNA". It matches the Rfam family "Bacterial small subunit ribosomal RNA", at positions 79 to 353 of the family's 1533-position model. The record is from RNAcentral.